RNAcentral lists this ribosomal RNA (426 nucleotides) under uncultured bacterium. RNAcentral's name for it is "bacterial SSU rRNA". It matches the Rfam family "Bacterial small subunit ribosomal RNA", at positions 917 to 1341 of the family's 1533-position model. The record is from RNAcentral.
GGACCCGCACAAGUAGUGGAGCAUGUGGUUUAAUUCGAAGAUACGCGCAGAACCUUACCAACACUUGACAUGUUCGUCGCGACUCUAAGAGAUUAGAGUUUUCGGUUCGGCCGGACGAAACACAGGUGCUGCAUGGCUGUCGUCAGCUCGUGUCGUGAGAUGUUGGGUUAAGUCCCGCAACGAGCGCAACCCUCACUUUUAGUUGCCAUCAUUAAGUUGGGCACUCUGAAAGAACUGCCAGUGAUAAGCUGGAGGAAGGUGGGGAUGACGUCAAGUCCUCAUGGCCCUUACGUGUUGGGCUACACACGUGCUACAAUGGUAUCUACAACAGGAAGCAAGACUGCGAAGUUAAGCAAAUCCCUAAAAGCUAUCUCAGUUCGGAUUGCAGGCUGCAACUCGCCUGCAUGAAGCCGGAAUCGCUAGUAA